Molecule: long non-coding RNA, 192 nt
Organism: Sapajus apella (tufted capuchin)
Lineage: Eukaryota; Metazoa; Chordata; Mammalia; Primates; Cebidae
Exons: 2
Source: RefSeq, a predicted model, not a curated record
AACAUGGUGAAACCCCAUCUCUACUAAAAAUACAAAAAUUAGCAGGGUGUGGUGGCGCACAUCUGUAAUUGGAGCUACUCAGGUGGCGGAGGUAUGAGAAUCAUUUGAACUGGGGAGGCAGAGGUUGCAGUGAGCUGAGAUGACGCCACAGAACUCUAGCCUGGGCAACAGAAAGAGACUAUCUCAAAAAAA